This 403-nucleotide ribosomal RNA is filed under the name Polynoidae sp. 609 PB. RNAcentral's name for it is "partial 16S ribosomal RNA". It matches the Rfam family "Bacterial large subunit ribosomal RNA", at positions 1959 to 2597 of the family's 2925-position model. Lineage: Eukaryota; Metazoa; Annelida; Polychaeta; Phyllodocida; Polynoidae. The record is from RNAcentral.
GCAUAAUCAUUUGCCUUUUAAUUAAAGGCUAGUAUGAACGGAUUAACGAGAGUCUUCCUAUAUUAUCUCUACCCCUAAAAUUUAAAUUCCAGGUGAAGAUGCCUGGAUUAAUUUGAAAGACAAGAAGACCCUGUAGAGUUUUAGUACCCCAUUUAUCACCUUAAAACUGUACUUUGAUUGGGGUGAUCAAGGGUUUUAAACUAACACCCUACUUUUUCUAAGAACCUUUUUCCUAUUAAUAAUCCUUACACAAAGAACUUAAAAUCAACUACCUCAGGGAUAACAGGCUUAUCUUUCUAAAAAGACCAAAUUAACAGAAAGGUUUGGCACCUCGAUGUUGGCUUAGAGUAACCCAAUAAAGCAAAAAUUAUUUCCGGUUAGUUUGUUCAACUAUUAAACCUCU